UAGGGAAUUUUCGUCAAUGGGCGCAAGCCUGAACGAGCGAUGCCGCGUGAGUGAAGAAGGCCUUCGGGUCGUAAAGCUCUGUUGCGGGGGGAAAAAAAGGCAUCUGCAGGAAAUGGUAGAUGACAGAUGGUGCCCCGCCAGAAAGUCACGGCUAACUACGUGCC
This 164-nucleotide ribosomal RNA is filed under the name uncultured bacterium. Its description in RNAcentral is "partial 16S ribosomal RNA". It matches the Rfam family "Bacterial small subunit ribosomal RNA", at positions 355 to 509 of the family's 1533-position model. The record is from RNAcentral.